Molecule: ribosomal RNA, 253 nt
Filed under: uncultured bacterium
Lineage: Bacteria
Description: partial 16S ribosomal RNA
Rfam family: Bacterial small subunit ribosomal RNA
Source: RNAcentral
UACAGAGGGGGCAAGCGUUGUUCGGAAUUACUGGGCGUAAAGGGCGCGUAUGCGGCCUGCUAAGUCGAACGUGAAAUCCCUGGGCUCAACCCAGGAACUGCGUCCGAUACUGGCGGGCUUGAAUCCGGGAGAGGGAUGUGGAAUUCCAGGUGUAGCGGUGAAAUGCGUAGAUAUCUGGAGGAACACCGGUGGCGAAGGCGGCAUCCUGGACCGGUAUUGACGCUGAUGCGCGAAAGCCAGGGGAGCAAACGGG